UCCUACGGGAGGCAGCAGUAGGGAAUCUUCCGCAAUGGGCGAAAGCCUGAUGGAGCAACGCCGCGUGGGUGAAGAAGGUCUUCGGAUCGUAAAACCCUGUUGUUAGAGAAGAAAGUGCGUGAGAGCAACUGUUCACGUUUCGAUGGCAUCUAACCAGAAAGCCACGGCUAACUACGUGCCAGCAGCGGCGGUAAUACGUAGGUGGCAAGCGUUAUCCGGAUUUAUUGGUCGUAAAGGGAACGCAGGCGGUCU
RNAcentral lists this ribosomal RNA (252 nucleotides) under uncultured bacterium. Its description in RNAcentral is "partial 16S ribosomal RNA". It matches the Rfam family "Bacterial small subunit ribosomal RNA", at positions 337 to 581 of the family's 1533-position model. The record is from RNAcentral.